This 2230-nucleotide ribosomal RNA is filed under the name Vibrio cholerae HE-45. Its description in RNAcentral is "bacterial LSU rRNA". It matches the Rfam family "Bacterial large subunit ribosomal RNA", at positions 1 to 2277 of the family's 2925-position model. The record is from RNAcentral. Lineage: Bacteria; Pseudomonadati; Pseudomonadota; Gammaproteobacteria; Vibrionales; Vibrionaceae.
UUAAGUGACUAAGCGUACACGGUGGAUGCCUGGGCAGUCAGAGGCGAUGAAGGACGUACUAACUUGCGAUAAGCGCAGAUAAGGCAGUAAGAGCCGUUUGAGUCUGCGAUUUCCGAAUGGGGAAACCCAACUGCAUAAGCAGUUACUGUUAACUGAAUACAUAGGUUAACAGAGCAAACCGGGGGAACUGAAACAUCUAAGUACCCCGAGGAGAAGAAAUCAACCGAGAUUCCGGUAGUAGCGGCGAGCGAACCUGGAUUAGCCCUUAAGCACUCGGUGAAGUAGGUGAACAAGCUGGAAAGCUUGGCGAUACAGGGUGAUAGCCCCGUAACCGACGCUUCAUCGAGCGUGAAAUCGAGUAGGGCGGGACACGUGAUAUCCUGUCUGAAUAUGGGGGGACCAUCCUCCAAGGCUAAAUACUCCUGACUGACCGAUAGUGAACCAGUACCGUGAGGGAAAGGCGAAAAGAACCCCUGUGAGGGGAGUGAAAUAGAACCUGAAACCGUGUACGUACAAGCAGUAGGAGCACCUUCGUGGUGUGACUGCGUACCUUUUGUAUAAUGGGUCAGCGACUUAUAUUCAGUGGCAAGGUUAACCGUAUAGGGGAGCCGUAGCGAAAGCGAGUCUUAACUGGGCGCUCAGUCUCUGGAUAUAGACCCGAAACCGGGUGAUCUAGCCAUGGGCAGGUUGAAGGUUGAGUAACAUCAACUGGAGGACCGAACCGACUAAUGUUGAAAAAUUAGCGGAUGACUUGUGGCUAGGGGUGAAAGGCCAAUCAAACUCGGAGAUAGCUGGUUCUCCCCGAAAGCUAUUUAGGUAGCGCCUCGGACGAAUACUACUGGGGGUAGAGCACUGUUAAGGCUAGGGGGUCAUCCCGACUUACCAACCCUUUGCAAACUCCGAAUACCAGUAAGUACUAUCCGGGAGACACACGGCGGGUGCUAACGUCCGUCGUGGAGAGGGAAACAACCCAGACCGCCAGCUAAGGUCCCAAAGUAUUGCUAAGUGGGAAACGAUGUGGGAAGGCUCAGACAGCUAGGAUGUUGGCUUAGAAGCAGCCAUCAUUUAAAGAAAGCGUAAUAGCUCACUAGUCGAGUCGGCCUGCGCGGAAGAUGUAACGGGGCUAAGCAAUACACCGAAGCUGCGGCAAUAUCUUUUAGAUAUUGGGUAGGGGAGCGUUCUGUAAGCCGUUGAAGGUGAAUCGUAAGGUUUGCUGGAGGUAUCAGAAGUGCGAAUGCUGACAUGAGUAACGACAAAGGGGUGAAAACCUCCUCGCCGGAAGACCAAGGGUUCCUGUCCAACGUUAAUCGGGGCAGGGUGAGUCGACCCCUAAGGUGAGGCCGAAAGGCGUAAUCGAUGGGAAACGGGUUAAUAUUCCCGUACUUCUGACUAUUGCGAUGGGGGGACGGAGAAGGCUAGGUGGGCCAGGCGACGGUUGUCCUGGUUCAAGUGCGUAGGCUUGAGAGUUAGGUAAAUCCGGCUCUCUCUAAGGCUGAGACACGACGUCGAGCUGCUACGGCAGUGAAGUCAUUGAUGCCAUGCUUCCAGGAAAAGCCUCUAAGCUUCAGAUAGUCAGGAAUCGUACCCCAAACCGACACAGGUGGUCGGGUAGAGAAUACCAAGGCGCUUGAGAGAACUCGGGUGAAGGAACUAGGCAAAAUGGUACCGUAACUUCGGGAGAAGGUACGCUCUUGAUGGUGAAGUCCCUCGCGGAUGGAGCUGACGAGAGUCGCAGAUACCAGGUGGCUGCAACUGUUUAUUAAAAACACAGCACUGUGCAAAAUCGCAAGAUGACGUAUACGGUGUGACGCCUGCCCGGUGCCGGAAGGUUAAUUGAUGGGGUUAGCGCAAGCGAAGCUCUUGAUCGAAGCCCCGGUAAACGGCGGCCGUAACUAUAACGGUCCUAAGGUAGCGAAAUUCCUUGUCGGGUAAGUUCCGACCUGCACGAAUGGCGUAAUGAUGGCCACGCUGUCUCCACCCGAGACUCAGUGAAAUUGAAAUCGCUGUGAAGAUGCAGUGUACCCGCGGCUAGACGGAAAGACCCCGUGAACCUUUACUACAGCUUGGCACUGAACAUUGAACCUACAUGUGUAGGAUAGGUGGGAGGCUAUGAAGACGUGACGCCAGUUGCGUUGGAGCCGUCCUUGAAAUACCACCCUUGUAUGUUUGAUGUUCUAACUUAGACCCAUUAUCUGGGUUGAGGACAGUGCCUGGUGGGUAGUUUGACUGG